RNAcentral lists this long non-coding RNA (241 nucleotides) under Eutrema salsugineum. RNAcentral's name for it is "long non-coding RNA (ESAL_LNC001581)". Lineage: Eukaryota; Viridiplantae; Streptophyta; Magnoliopsida; Brassicales; Brassicaceae. The record is from RNAcentral.
UCUAACUCUGGUGGUAAAGGAUUCUCUGCUGAGGUACUCGCCAUCACGAGUUCGAGCCCCAGCCACUGCGGAAUUCACAUACGGGCUGCAGCGUCCAAGGAGUCGACACGUGGAGUGCCAUUUAGCCGCCUACGUGACUAGUCUGGACCCACCUCGGUGGGGUCAGGACACCUGAGUUAUCAAAUAAAAAGAAGCAAAUACUGUAUUAUAGACCACAAUAUUAUAUAUAACUAGAGUUGAA